GGAGGGAUGGCCGAGUGGCUGAAGGCGCACGCUUGGAAAGCGUGUUUACGUUAACCCGUAACGUGGGUUCGAAUCCCACUCCCUCCGCCA
RNAcentral lists this transfer RNA (90 nucleotides) under Alphaproteobacteria bacterium. RNAcentral's name for it is "tRNA-Ser". It matches the Rfam family "tRNA". From Rfam's summary of the family: Transfer RNA (tRNA) molecules are approximately 80 nucleotides in length. Their secondary structure includes four short double-helical elements and three loops (D, anti-codon, and T loops). The record is from RNAcentral. Lineage: Bacteria; Pseudomonadati; Pseudomonadota; Alphaproteobacteria.